RNAcentral lists this long non-coding RNA (218 nucleotides) under Gossypium barbadense (sea-island cotton). RNAcentral describes it as "long non-coding RNA (GBAR_LNC020789)". Lineage: Eukaryota; Viridiplantae; Streptophyta; Magnoliopsida; Malvales; Malvaceae. The record is from RNAcentral.
CCAAUUAGCCUUAGCCUAAACCCAAUUAGCCUAAGCCCAAUAACCCUAACCCAGCCUCAGCACAAGCAAAAGUCGGAAGCCCUAAUGGUUGGUGCGCCGCUCCUGCCUUCAGCACGCGUCGAGCCUCCGCGCCACGCAUGCCCCAGUUGGCCUCCGUACGUGCCACGCCCAUUGCUCCGUACGGCCGUACCUGUACACAAGUGAACAAGCAAAAACGG